GAUGAACGCUGGCGGCGUGCCUAAUACAUGCAAGUCGAGCGAACGGACGAGAAACUUGCUUCUCUGAUGUUAGCGGCGGACGGGUGAGUAACACGUGGAUAACCUACCUAUAAGACUGGGAUAACUUCGGGAAACCGGAGCUAAUACCGGAUAAUAUUUUGAACCGCAUGGUUCAAAAGUGAAAGACGGUCUUGCUGUCACUUAUAGAUGGAUCCGCGCUGCAUUAGCUAGUUGGUAAGGUAACGGCUUACCAAGGCAACGAUGCAUAGCCGACCUGAGAGGGGGAUCGGCCACACUGGAACUGAGACACGGUCCAGACUCCUACGGGAGGCAGCAGUAGGGAAUCUUCCGCAAUGGGCGAAAGCCUGACGGAGCAACGCCGCGUGAGUGAUGAAGGUCUUCGGAUCGUAAACCUCUGUUAUUAGGGAAGAACAUAUGUGUAAGUAACUGUGCACAUCUUGACGGUACCUAAUCAGAAAGCCACGGCUAACUACGUG
Molecule: ribosomal RNA, 497 nt
Filed under: uncultured bacterium
Lineage: Bacteria
Description: partial 16S ribosomal RNA
Rfam family: Bacterial small subunit ribosomal RNA
Source: RNAcentral